RNAcentral lists this long non-coding RNA (4025 nucleotides) under Glycine max (soybean). RNAcentral's name for it is "long non-coding RNA (GMAX_LNC000722)". The record is from RNAcentral. Lineage: Eukaryota; Viridiplantae; Streptophyta; Magnoliopsida; Fabales; Fabaceae.
AUAGAUGCAAUUGGAAUAGAAUAUAAGGGAAGAUACUAUGUAAUUUCUCAUCUAUUAGAACGACUACAUUUCACAAAAACCCAUGAAUGUGCAGUAAUCAAACAGAGCAGAUUGAUAACAAAGGAGAACUUCCCCACUUUAUCUACUGAUCAAGCUCAGCAACUGCUGGAAAUCCUAAAUCACCAUCUUCCUAAUCUUCAAGGAUUGAAACUAUAUAAGGACUGGAGUUUUUGCUACAAAUCAAGUUACCCCGCAUUUCCUUCCUGUGAGGACAAAAUGGAAAAUUUAAGAAUUUCUGAACCUUUUUUGUUUCAAAUAUUUAAUUUAUUUUUUAUUAUUUUUGUUCUAAAAAAUUAUAACAUUCUUAAAAACAUGCAGAAAUACAUGUGUGUCCCAUUCCCUUCCAAUAUGUAAACAUGGAUUUUUUUUAAAAAAGUUUGAGAUAUGCAUAUGCGUGCCUGUAUGGGUACUAUACCGGGUUGAAUUGUCAAAUAUUUGUUGGUUGUUGGCUUAGAAAGAUGUUUGACAGUUUAAAUGACUUAAACAAUAAAUGAUUGACAACUCACCUUGGAUAUUAAUAACCUUAUGGCUUAAAAAACAUAGGUACUGGAGCAAUCUUCUCACAUGAUAUUAUAUAUUAAGUAAAAUAUCUAAAGUAUUUAUUUAUAUAUGUAAAAUUUGCAACACACAGUCACAGUAUUAAAAGAGAAAAAACUGAAGAACUGUUUUGUAAAAAAAAAAAAAAAAAAGCUAUAAAGGAGUAGAAUAUUUGAGAAAAAAUGAAUGCAGAAUAUUAUAUAGCUUGAAAUAUGGAGGUUAAAGAGUUUCUACAUGAUUGACAAUUGCUAACAGCAUAUAGGGGAUAAGUCAUUAGUCUGUCUCUCAAAUUCUUCAUAUCAUCAUAUUAAUCAUAUUAAGUAAUUUAAGAAAAUGUAAAGGAGAAACCAAAAUAUUUGCCAACAAUGCUUGAAAUUGCAACCAUUGUUGGUGGUGCCAUCAAAUAUGGAAGGAUGUUCUGACUUCUAAGCCACCAAUUCCCAAAGUUCUCAAUCUGAGAGACCUUUCGUCUUGGGAUCAUCAGAGGUGGUCUGCUGCUGCUGGUUAAGCAAGGAGAGUUGAAAUUUUACAGAAAAGAGCAUUUGGGACAGAUUUGGGAGCAUGUAACAACAUUUCAACCUCUACCAUUUGUUUGUAUAUAUCAAAUAAUGAGUUUCUUUUGCAGCCUGCUGUUUACCAGACUCCAGGCUCAGGUAGAGCAAGAAGGGAUUCCGCAGCACGUGCAAUGCAAGGUUGGCAUGCUCAGCGCCUUCUUGGAUAUGGUGAGGUUGCUGAGCCAGUUAUUAAGGUCUGUUGAGACCUUUACAAUUUUCAUUUUUAUUCUUAGCAUCAUUUUAUUGUUGAUCACUGUAACUCUCUUACAGCAAUGUUUCUACUGAUAGAGUGUUUGUUUUUUCUUGCACAGGACAAGAACUUCAGUUCCACACAAAAGCGUGAAAAGAACCUAAAAAGUAUUGGUAUGGUCACUACAAACAUCACCAACUUUCUCUAAAUUAAUAGCUAUCUCAUUUAUUUAUGCUUCAAUGAAUCAGGUAUGAUCAAUAAACAGAGGACACUGUCUGGUCUGGAGCAUGCUGAGAAAUCUGCAAAUAUUGAAGGAGAUCAACAGUUAAGUUACUGGUCUUUUCUGUUAAUUGACCUAUAAUAGUCCUGUGCGUAGAGUCAUGAUCUUUGUAUCAGUUUCAGUGUUGGCUUCUCCAUCCACAAUCUCUUAAUUCAUGGCAUUGGCCACCCACCACUUGAAGUUCUCUUCAUUAUAACAAUUACUGUUGAGUAAAUUAAUUUUGCUGUUACACAAUUAAUAAAUGCUAUUUUCUAUGAGAUUCAUAGGUUUUCAGCAAAUUAAAAUAAGGAAUUAACCAGAACAAGUUGGUGCACCUUAAUGAUACUACCCUAUACAUGUCUUAUUCAAGUCCUUGGAGAUAUAUCUGCUUUCUUCCUCCCUAAAGGUUUCUAUAUCUACAUCUUUCCUACCCCACCCCAAAGUUUUGUGAGCCAAAACACAGACAAACUGACAAAGUGAAUAUGCCCUGGGAGUUUGGCAUUUUCUUAAUGUCAGUCAGGAUUCUGUUCAUUAUUACUGAUUCUCCGAUCAAUCCAACCACAUACAAUGCCUAUUUCAAUCUGAAAAAGAUACGUGUGCACUGUGAGAUAUGAUAAAGUUUCAGUGUAUCUAAUGAACCAAGGCUAAUUGAGUUUUUCAUCUGAUAGAUUGGUCACAGCGGUAGUGGACGUUGGACCCCCAGCUGACUGGGUGAAGAUCAAUGUGCGGGAAACUGUAAGUCAGUUUGGUUGUAUUCUUUACCUAGUUUAUGUCCUUCUUAUGUAUCAUAAUGACAGAUCUUUUCUCCUGUAAAUAGAAUUUAAUAAUAAAAUUUUACUGUUUUCUGUAUCCAUGUCCAGAAGGAUGGUUUUGAGGUGUAUGCCCUUGUUCCUGGGCUCCUUCGUGAGGAGGUAAGCACCAUGGUGUCUUUAUCCCCUGUUUAUUUUUAUGCAGAAAAACUGGCUUAUUCUGCUGGACGAAACACAUGCCCGUGCAAUUGUCAAAUCCUCACUCCUAGUUAUCCAACAAUGACAACCAUUAAAGAUAAUUAUUAUGUCCUUGAAUUUAUUAAAUCUUAUCUUAGAUUUUUCUUCUUGAGCAUAACUAUAUAAAAUAGGAUGUAGAAUCACUUUUUACAAUUUCUAAUGAUCUAUAUUGGCUGUUUUUCGAUGCCUUUUUGUGAGGAGGAAAAUUUUACCUAUAUAGUUUUAUAUAGAUUUAGUUACUCAUUUGAUCCCUAUAAUUUUAUAAUUUAUACCUUUUAAUUUUUAUUGUUUGAAAGUGGUUUUUUAAGUUCUUAUAAUUUGAAUUUUAAUUAUCUUUGAGUUCUUGUAGUUUGAAAGUGGUUUUUUUAGUUCUUAUAAUUUAUAUUUUAAUUCUCUUUUAGUCUCUAUAGUUUGAAAGUGAUCUUUUUAAUUUUUAUACUUUAUAUUUUAAUUUCAUUUUAGUUUUUACCAUCAAAAUAUGAGUAACAUUAUUAAUUACAAUUAACUACAAAAAUAUUAACGAGAUAAUUUGUAAUAAAAAAUAGUUGAUGAUUUAUAACUAAUUUGUUGUUAAUUAUUUUUAUUUUUUUUGUAGCUAAUUAUUUUUUUAGCAAGAACUAAAAGAUAAUUAAGAUACAAAUUAUAGGAACUAAAAAUAUCACUUUUAAGCUAUAGGGACUAAAAGAGAAUUAAAAUACUAUAAGAACUAAAAAGACCAUUUUUAAAUUAUAGAGACUAAAAGAGAAUUAAAAUAUAAAUUAUAGAGACUAAAAAAAUCACUUUUAAACUAUAAGGACUAAAAAGUAUGAAUCGUGAAACUAUAUGGAACCAAAUUAGUAAUUAAACAUUUUAUAUGUGUUUGGGAUAAUUUGCCGUCAUGUUAAAAGUAAAAACUAAUUGUAUUUAAUGAUUGAAAAAAGUUCUUCUAAGUGAGCAAGGGUGUAUUCACCCUUAAUUUUAUGAAGUGCACAUUGAAUGAUUUAAAUUCUGAAUAGUGAAUACAAACAUUAUUUGUUCAUUUUAGAUUUAAAUGAGUAUUUUCCUUUGUGAUUGAUAAUGGCUUCCUUGGUUUCUACUUUUAUUGUUGACUUUGUUAUAAUAAAUCCAGGUGCGAGUCCAAUCAGAUCCGGUUGGACGUCUUGUUAUAACUGGUGUGCCAGAACACCUUGACAAUCCAUGGGGAAUUACCCCCUUCAAAAAGGUAAACUACCUUUUCUUAACAGAGAUCUUGGUAUGACGCUGAGAGUAAUAAUAGAAUUUGUCACGUAAGGACGUGGCAUCUUCGUUGAAAGUGAUUGACUGAAAUUUGAUGUUUUUCAGGUUGUGAACUUACCUACAAGAAUUGAUUCGCUUCAGACAUCUGCUGUUGUUAGUUUGCAUGGUCGACUAUUUGUACGCGUUCCUUUUGAGCAGGGAGCUGUGUGAAUGUUCCUCCCUUG